AAAAAUUGGAGUUCCGACCCGCACGAAUGGCAUAAUGAUGUGGAGACUGUCUUAACCAUGUACUCGGCGAAAAUGCAAGUGUCGUGAAGAUGCGACAUACCCGCAGCUAGACGAAAAGACCCCGUGAAGCUUUACUAUAGUUUGACAUUGGUACAUUGUUCUACAUGUUCAGUAUAGGUGGGACCCGCAAGGGGCCAGUGAGAUACCACCCUUGUAUUGCGAUGUGUCUAAUCCAAUGCCGUGAAUCCGGUGUAGGAGACAGUGUCUGAUGGGUAGUUUAACUGGGGCGGUUGCCUCCCAAACAGUAACGGAGGCGUUUACAAAGGUUGGCUUGCUCCGGAUGGAAAUCGGAGUGGACGUGCAAACGCAGAAGCCAGCUUUACUGCAAGGGCUACCACCCGCGCAGUCACGAAAGUGGAAGUUAGUGAUCCGACCGUACGAUAUAGGACGGCGGAAGCUCAACGGAUAAAAGUUACUCCGGGGAUAACAGGCUGAUCCCACCCAAGCGUCCACAGCGACGGUGGGGUUUGGCACCUCGAUGUCGGCUCAUCGCAUCCU
RNAcentral lists this ribosomal RNA (558 nucleotides) under Candidatus Magasanikbacteria bacterium RIFCSPHIGHO2_02_FULL_48_18. RNAcentral's name for it is "bacterial LSU rRNA". It matches the Rfam family "Bacterial large subunit ribosomal RNA", at positions 1967 to 2548 of the family's 2925-position model. Lineage: Bacteria; Candidatus Magasanikiibacteriota. The record is from RNAcentral.